This 468-nucleotide ribosomal RNA is filed under the name uncultured bacterium. RNAcentral's name for it is "partial 16S ribosomal RNA". It matches the Rfam family "Bacterial small subunit ribosomal RNA", at positions 28 to 507 of the family's 1533-position model. The record is from RNAcentral.
GACGAACGCUGGCGGCGUGCUUAACACAUGCAAGUCGAACGGAAAGGCCCUGCUUUUGUGGGGUGCUCGAGUGGCGAACGGGUGAGUAACACGUGAGUAACCUGCCCUUGACUUUGGGAUAACUUCAGGAAACUGGGGCUAAUACCGGAUAGGAGCUCCUGCUGCAUGGUGGGGGUUGGAAAGUUUCGGCGGUUGGGGAUGGACUCGCGGCUUAUCAGCUUGUUGGUGGGGUAGUGGCUUACCAAGGCUUUGACGGGUAGCCGGCCUGGGAGGGUGACCGGCCACGUUGGGCCUGGACUGCGGCCCGGCCUCGUCUCGGACGCGGGGGUGCAGUAUAUUGUACAAGGCGAGGGAGCCAAAUGUAGCCACGCCGUGUGGGGGAAGUGAUCAAGGGCGUUGUAUUCCACUGUCGUCUGUGACGGGGAGUUAGUGACGGUAAUGGGUGAAGAAGCCCCGGCUAACUACGUG